UGUCCCUGACCCUAAGGACUAGCCGCCUUCAAGUCCAGUGUCUGAGCAGCUCCAGGCUUUCUGGGGUUUGAAAACUCAAUUCAGAUAUUUGGCCCAGUUUCUUAAUGAAAACGGAAAAUUGCAUUUUGAGCCUCAGCCUUCCUGAAGAGCAGCCCGUGCCAAAUGCGAGGCGUCGGAGAUGAAAACAAGGAUUUGCAGGACGCGGUGUCCCAUGGCAGGCAAAGGUCAGCGGGAGUGCCGAGCCGAGCAGGACUGGCCCCUCUGGCUGGAAACUUUGCUGUUUGCUCCACGGCCACUGCGGUUUGAGGCACCCGCAGGCGCGUGGUGGGAGCGAGCCAUUUGUUUUGCUCAGAAGAGGAUAUUUGUGAUUAGGGAAAUCACCGAUUUUAUGCACUAGUGUGUUUUGUUUCCUUCAUAAGGGGAAAAAAAAAAAAAACACAAAAAAAACAGGGACCUUUAGAAUGCCAAAAGCUUGUCUUAAUAUUUCACCAAAGUAUUUUAUAAAUGCACGUUGCAAAUGGCAGUAUAAAUUCUCCGCUAUGGAAAAUUGCUAUCUGGUUUGAAACUAGGCAGGAUAAAUAGAACUAUAAAAGGUUACCUGGAGUAAACAGAUAGGGUUUCCAAAAUGUACCACAUGAGAUAGAUUGGAGCUCAUAGUAAUCUGUUUUCCAUGCUUAACAUACGCUCAGCAUCAGCUGAACUCUGUAACUGAGCUGCCAUCUGUAUCAAUCCUGUUCCUAGAUGUCAUGGCCCUGUUAAUGAAAUCUGGAAGUGAAAUUGUAAAUGGAUUCGGUGAAUGGUAGAUGUCAGCCAUUGCGUGAUGGGCAAUCAUCAAUCAUCCACUGUCAGUUAUUUCUGUCUCAGUGCCUCGUGAAGUUCCACAUUGCUCCGGAUUUCAGAGACAGAUGCUGCUUCGUGUACCCAGGACCUGUUUCAAAUUCAGCUAAUUCAGGUAACUUUCUGGCAGGAUUUGCACGCUUCUUAAUUUUUGAAUGCUUUUUAAACUUUUGUUUCAAUCAAAAUCAUUCCAUGUUUUUGAGAUCCACAAAUAAAGUAGGCAUUAAAAAAGAAUAUUGCAUUCUAAAUAAUGCUACUCUAGCUUAGCUCUCCUUAGAACCUCAAGGACCAAACAGGCAAACUCACCCGGGCAGACCAAUGAACUCCACUUGUAUCACCUGUUUCUUUCAUUUUAACCAGAAAGUGGUUAAAACAGGCUGGCCUAUCAAAAAAGUUCAAUGGCAGAAACAAAUCCCAAGCUAAAAGUCUUAGCAUCAUGUGCUUCUCUGUGAGGUAUCUUUGUGGCCAUAAGUUUGUUACCACUCGAGAUGACAGUCUAAUCUGUGUACUUUCACGUGAGCAAAAAUAACUGCUAAAUUUUGGUGAAAUCAUGUUGCCUCUUCGCUGAGCUAAAAGGCAAAGGUAAAAGGUAACUAACCCACAUUAGGCUCAGUUCCCGCACUCUUGUAGAUGUUACAACAAUAAUAAUAAUAUUGCUCUGAGUAUGUCCACAUGACAAUGCAGAAAUACCCAAGCUAGCUGUAAACGAACCAUUGUAGAUACUGGACGCAGUCUAGAUGAGACAGCAGAGAACACCGAGAGGACUAAUUUACCCUGCUUUUUGGCAGUGUUAGCUCCAUAUGGGCUAAUUUAUCCUGCCAGAAAGCAGGCUCAUUUAUGGCUAGCUCAUUUAUAGCCAGCCUGAGUACCUCUUUGCUAUACUGGAAUUUGCAAUGUAGACGUACUUUCUAUUAAGGUGACAAGUGUGUGAUUGUAGGAAGUAAAAAUAUGGAGGUUGGGAUAUUGAAGGCACCUAAGGGCUUCUUUCUAGGGCAGUUUAAGAGGUUACCAUCUCCGGUGAUCUACUUCUCAACUUCUGCUGAGGAUAACUUUCUACAUACCUGAGGUAGUAUGGGGGAUUAUGUGCCCACCACAGAGCCUCUUGAGUUUACAGCACAACAUUUUAGAUUAAAUCAGUGAAGAGGGUGUGCUUGCAUUAAGACAUUAUAUGAUGAGCUGAAUCAGAGCAGAGGUAUCUAUGGGCUGCAGUAGCAGGGCAGACAGCUUGGGAGCUUAUGCUCCCUGUUGUUCAUCAAGCCCAAAGAGAACUGGGCACCAGGUCCCAUGGAAGCAUUUUUCUGCUGUAGGGUGCAGUGGGAGUUGGGUAUCUCAUUCUCCUCAGAUCCACUGAAAAAAAACUGUCAGCAAAAUCUGUCUUCUUAGGGUUGACUAAUCCGAAUGUUGCUAUCCAGUCAUCUACUGUAAAGUCUGCCUAGGUCUCUGAUCCGAUAAAGAAGCUGUUACAUAGACCUGACUUUCUAGCAUGACUCCAGUGAGAUUUCUCAGGUGCUUAAAGCUAAAUAUAUUUUUAAAUGAAGAUUUGUUUGUUCAAGCUCUACCUCCAUUUACUUCAGGGUAGUUAAUGCAUGUUAGCACUUCUGCUGCAAAGGGAGACUAGCAUUUAGAGCAGGAUUUGGCAUUCAGGAAGGAAAAUGGAUACGGCUGCCAUUCUCACUUCUACCAGCGCAGUCACGUACGAUGUGCUCCAGGCUUGUCUCUUGCUUUCUGCUUCUUGGGCUGCCCAGCUAUGAUCUAGUAUGCUGACCUUACAAGCCAAGGAAUGACUUUCAUGCCGCUGAAUCCCAUCAGGAACUUCAUGUCUCUUGUGGUUGUCUUCAUCCAUGGCUAACUUGUAUUAUCAUUGGCACGCUUAGAAUUGUGAUGUUAUGUUUCAAAUGUUUCUAAAGCUGAAACACACAAGCUCUUUUAUUUCACUUUUGCCUAGCAGGAUUAUUUCAGCUCCACACAUGCAAAACCUCAUAUUAUGCAAGAAAUUAAUCAUAUCAGGGUAAAGUAGCUACUGAAAAAUUGCCAAACACCAUAAACAUUGGUCAAAAUGCAGGCCAACCAUUUGCACAGCAAGUAAUUGAAGCUAGGGGUUCAUUGGAGCGACGCGUAACUUUUCAUUAUGAAUUAGAAAGCUUUUCAAACAUAAAAUGGUGUCUGAGAAGACUGCACUACCUAAAAGGUUUCAGUAAACACUCACAAAAAAAAAAAAAGUGCUAAAAUAUGCUGGAGAGAUCAAUCAUGCUUUAUGGUUACUUGCUCCACGUAGUUUCACACACAUUCUCCGAUAAACAAUGUCCCACACGCUCUGCCCAGACCCAUUAUUUUCUUCAGCACCAAAGCAUCAAGGGCCAGAUUCUCAUUUGGUUUAAGUCAGAAGAGCUCUGCUGAGGUUGACUGCUCACCAUUGAUUUAUGCCAGCUGAAGAUCUGGCCUGAAGAGUGACAAAAAUGUAAUUUUAUGUUUUAUUUAUGGGUGUAAAACAAUAGUCCUAAAGGGAGCAGAUGUUCCAUGUCGAGGGAGGAGGUUUAUGAAAUGCAAUUCCAGACACAAAAGCUAAUCUCUGUGGUCAGGGAAGGCAUGAGGCCUGUUUUACAUGAUGAACUUUAAUUGAAAUCUUGCUCUUUUGUGUUCAUUUAUUUCUUCUAUUUGGGAGCCGACAAGCGUCAUUUAAAUUACUUACCAGCUGCCAAACACCUUAAAAAGCAAUAAACAGUUGACUUAAACACCUGGAGAAGGUUGG
Long non-coding RNA from Phasianus colchicus (ring-necked pheasant), 3586 nucleotides. The record is from Ensembl. Lineage: Eukaryota; Metazoa; Chordata; Aves; Galliformes; Phasianidae.